Molecule: ribosomal RNA, 492 nt
Filed under: uncultured bacterium
Lineage: Bacteria
Description: partial 16S ribosomal RNA
Rfam family: Bacterial small subunit ribosomal RNA
Source: RNAcentral
AGUGAACGCUGGCGGUAGGCCUAACACAUGCAAGUCGAACGGCAGCACAGUAAGAGCUUGCUCUUACGGGUGGCGAGUGGCGGACGGGUGAGGAAUACAUCGGAAUCUACUUUUUCGUGGGGGAUAACGUAGGGAAACUUACGCUAAUACCGCAUACGACCUACGGGUGAAAGCAGGGGAUCUUCGGACCUUGCGCGAUUGAAUGAGCCGAUGUCGGAUUAGCUAGUUGGCGGGGUAAAGGCCCACCAAGGCGACGAUCCGUAGCUGGUCUGAGAGGAUGAUCAACCCCACUGGAACUGAGACACGGUCCAAACUCCCAAGGGAAGGAGGCGUGGGGAAUAUUUGACCAAGGGGGCAAACCCGCACCAGCCCUACCGGCUGGGUGAAGGAGGCCCUCCGGUUUUAAAGCCCUUUUGUUGGGAAAGAAAAGCAGCAGGUUAAUACCCCGCUGUUCUGACGGUACCCAAAGAAUAAGCACCGGCUAACUUCGUG